This 305-nucleotide ribosomal RNA is filed under the name uncultured bacterium. RNAcentral's name for it is "bacterial SSU rRNA". It matches the Rfam family "Bacterial small subunit ribosomal RNA", at positions 338 to 640 of the family's 1533-position model. The record is from RNAcentral.
CCUACGGGAGGCAGCAGUGAGGAAUAUUGGACAAUGGGCUUACGCCUGAACCAGCCAAGUCGCGUGAGGGAAGACUGCCCUAUGGGUUGUAAACCUCUUUUGUCAGGGAGCAACGCCGGCUACGUGUAGCCGGACUGCGAGUACCUGAAGAAAAAGCAUCGGCUAACUCCGUGCCAGCAGCCGCGGUAAUACGGAGGAUUCGAGCGUUAUCCGGCUUUAUUGGGUUUAAAGGGUGCGUAGGCGGAAUGCCAGGUCAGCGGUAAAAUCGCGUGUCUCACUCUCGCUCUGCCGUUGAAACUGGCGUU